This is a small nuclear RNA of Psammomys obesus (fat sand rat), 106 nucleotides long. Lineage: Eukaryota; Metazoa; Chordata; Mammalia; Rodentia; Muridae. The record is from RefSeq and is a predicted model, not a curated record.
GUGCUUACAUAAGCAGCACAUUUGGUAAAAUUGAAAGAUACAUAGAAGAUGGGCAAGGCCCCUGCACAAGGAUGACAUGCAAAUUUGUGAAGUGUUCUAUAUUUUU